UACAGAGGGUGCGAGCGUUGUCCGGAAUCACUGGGCGUAAAGGGCGCGUAGGCGGCCUGAUAAGUAGGGGGUGAAAUCCUGUAGCUUAACUGCAGGGCUGCCUCCUAAACUGUUGGGCUAGAGCACGGUAGAGGCAGAUGGAAUUCCCGGUGUAGCGGUGGAAUGCGUAGAGAUCGGGAAGAACAUCAGUGGCGAAGGCGGUCUGCUGGGCCGUUGCUGACGCUGAGGCGCGACAGCGUGGGGAGCAAACAGG
This 253-nucleotide ribosomal RNA is filed under the name uncultured bacterium. Its description in RNAcentral is "partial 16S ribosomal RNA". It matches the Rfam family "Bacterial small subunit ribosomal RNA", at positions 524 to 776 of the family's 1533-position model. The record is from RNAcentral.